CAUCUCCUCUUCUCAACACUCUCCUUCUCUUUUUCCACUCUCGGUCUCUUUCUCUCCAUCUGUGUCAGAGGAGGCUGCUACGACUCAAUCAGGCUCACAAAAACGCAGAGGAGCUCCCACUCUUUGUCUGCCUCACUCAGAAAUCUCUGGGUGGAUGCCAACUCUCCUACAGCAGUGAAACACCUGCUCCAGCAACAAGACGUGAUAUGAGCCCCUAGCUGGAACUGUAGAGGCAGCCUUUCACAGGCAUUUGGAUGAAAUGUGAACCGGCAAGCUGGAGGACAGAACCCCAGAAAACCGAGAGAGAAGUGGACAUGAGAGUAAUGCAGAUAAUGCUGGCUCAAUUUGAGUUUAGUGCUUUAUCUUUUUCAAUGCAAGUCACAAAAUGCAUCUGCCAUUCCCUCUACAUAAGUCAUACGAGACAUACAGAGCUUUUCACAAUGUGUGGGACUUUGCUUAUCUCUAUUUUUUUGUGUGUUUUUCUGAGUGGAUGGAGAGUUUUAUCCAGUAAAAAGGUCAGGCGGAAGCAAGAACUCUACAUCAAC
Molecule: long non-coding RNA, 545 nt
Organism: Amphiprion ocellaris (clown anemonefish)
Lineage: Eukaryota; Metazoa; Chordata; Actinopteri; Pomacentridae
Source: Ensembl